CUAGCCGUAAACGAUGUGAACUUGGCGUCGGUGGGAUUAAAUCCAUCGGUGUCGUAGCUAACGUGAUAAGUUCACCGCCUGAGGACUACGGCCGCAAGGUUAAAACUUAAAGGAAUUGACGGGUACCCGCACAAGCAGCGGAGCGUGUGGUUUAAUUCGUUGCUACACGAAGAACCUUACCUGGGUUUGACAUAUAGGUGGUAGAGAACUGAAAAGGGAUCGACCCUUCGGGGAGCCUAUACAGGUGU
This 248-nucleotide ribosomal RNA is filed under the name uncultured Anaerolineaceae bacterium. RNAcentral describes it as "partial 16S ribosomal RNA". It matches the Rfam family "Bacterial small subunit ribosomal RNA", at positions 796 to 1041 of the family's 1533-position model. Lineage: Bacteria; Bacillati; Chloroflexota; Anaerolineae; Anaerolineales; Anaerolineaceae. The record is from RNAcentral.